CCCUUAGAUGUUCUGGGCUGCACGCGUGCUACAAUGAAGCGUCCAACAAGAUGCGAAGCCGAAAGGCUCAGCGGAUCUUUGAAGUCGUUUCGUGACCGGGACAGUUGAUUGCAAUUAUUCGACUCGAACGAGGAAUUCCUUGUAAUCGCGAUUCAUCAUAUCGCGCUGAAUACGUCCCUGCCCUUUGUACACACCGCCCGUCGCUCCUACCGAUUGAGCGAUCCGGUGAAUUAUUUGGAGUGUCCACGCAAGCCAAUCCGUUUACGUGGGUGCGAAAUUUUGUAAACCUUAUCGCUUAGAGGAAGGAAAAGUCGUNACA
Molecule: ribosomal RNA, 319 nt
Filed under: uncultured eukaryote
Lineage: Eukaryota
Description: partial 18S ribosomal RNA
Rfam family: Eukaryotic small subunit ribosomal RNA
Source: RNAcentral